CCCGCACAAGCGGUGGAUGAUGUGGAUUAAUUCGAUGCAACGCGAAAACCUUACCUACCCUUGACAUGUCCGGAAUCCCGAAGAGAUUUGGGAGUGCUCGCAAGAGAACCGGAACACAGGUGCUGCAUGGCUGUCGUCAGCUCGUGUCGUGAGAUGUUGGGUUAAGUCCCGCAACGAGCGCAACCCUUGUCAUUAGUUGCCAUCAUUUGGUUGGGCACUCUAAUGAGACUGCCGGUGACAAACCGGAGGAAGGUGGGGAUGACGUCAAGUCCUCAUGGCCCUUAUGGGUAGGGCUUCACACGUCAUACAAUGGUCGGUACAGAGGGCAGCUACCUGGUGACAGGAUGCUAAUCUCGAAAACCGGUCUCAGUUCGGAUCGAAGUCUGCAACUCGACUUCGUGAAGCUGGAUUCGCUAGUAAUCGCGCAUCAGCUAUGGCGCGGUGAAUACGUUCCCGGGCCUU
This 462-nucleotide ribosomal RNA is filed under the name uncultured Thauera sp. Its description in RNAcentral is "bacterial SSU rRNA". It matches the Rfam family "Bacterial small subunit ribosomal RNA", at positions 920 to 1382 of the family's 1533-position model. The record is from RNAcentral. Lineage: Bacteria; Pseudomonadati; Pseudomonadota; Betaproteobacteria; Rhodocyclales; Zoogloeaceae.